Molecule: long non-coding RNA, 1100 nt
Filed under: Monodelphis domestica (gray short-tailed opossum)
Lineage: Eukaryota; Metazoa; Chordata; Mammalia; Didelphimorphia; Didelphidae
Description: lncRNA (ENSMODG00000036845.1)
Source: RNAcentral
CGCCACUGUCGAGUUCAAGUUCCACUUCCGGGGUCCUCGGCGAGCAUCUGACAUCAUCAGGCCUACAGUCGCCAACCCGGAAGUGGACGAUGCGCGUGUGCGCCGCGGCGGCGACAGAAGUGACGGUCAACGGCAGAAAAGCGCAUGCGCUAGGCAUAGGGACCUGGGAAGUAACCAUGAUCUUCCUCUGUGGGGCCUUCAUCUCUGAUCUUUCCAGCUCCUACAGACUAUCAUUGCAUGGCCUCUCUUCCCACAGAAGGAGCAUAUUAAGGGGUAUGUUAAUGAUUUGUCUGUGGAUUCCUGCAAAGGGGCCAUGGUCUCUCCCUUAUUUUUCAAUUGUUCCUGUGUCAUUCUUUCAAUUUCUUUUUUUAAGUCUGCCCCUGACGUACUGUGUGUCUCAGGUUUUUUUGUAUGACCCUUAUAGACAUAGGUUGCUACUUUCCUCAGUUCUUUGAGGUCCAUAGACUCCCACUUGGGACAGCUAGUUUCAAAGUAGUCUUUUACUACUGAACAACAAUUCCUAACGAAUUGUCUGUGUAUAUGUUUAAUGUCCUUUUCUCUGGUCAAAUCAAGGUCCAUAUAUGUAUUUCCUACAUCAAUAAGUCUGUCCAUAAAGUGGGAGGGGGGUCUCAUUAAUUUCCUGUCGGGACAGUUCAAAUUUUUCCCAUGUUUCAGGUCUAUCAGAGCAAUCUCUCAUGGCUCUUAAUAAUGCUUCUCUGGCCAGGACUAGUUUUGUGUGAUAUUAUACAACAUUGGGGUUCCAGUGUGUAUCUACAGUUGGCCAAUGGUGAGCUCCUUUACUGUUUUUCUGAUUAGCUAGAGAGAUGACAUUAUUUUUCUCUCUCUUUGUCAGAAAUGUAUCUAACAAAUUUUCCACAUCCAACAAAGAAGGGUCAAAGUUUCUAAAUAUAUUCUCUAAUUUUUCUAUAACCAAUAUUGGUUCUGCCUCAAAUGAUGGAACAUUGUGCUUGAAUUUUUAUAAAUCGUCAGGUUUAAAAGGUGUAUAGUGUCUUACAGACACCAAGUUCCCCUCUUUAUUAAAGGUGGGUACUUCCCACAAUGGAAAUAAACUUCUGUCCAAAUUAUCUGGUGUUACUGUU